This 398-nucleotide unclassified non-coding RNA is filed under the name Hevea brasiliensis (rubber tree). The record is from RNAcentral. Lineage: Eukaryota; Viridiplantae; Streptophyta; Magnoliopsida; Malpighiales; Euphorbiaceae.
UUUCUAUUGACUCCUUCAAUGCAAUAAAAGCAAAAGGGAAUAUUUGGUUAAAUGGUAAAAAGUAGGUUUUAGAAAGGAAAAAAAUGUUAUGUUCUUAUAAUUGUCAUUUACUUUUCUUUUAGGAUGCAAAACCUGUACAUUUACUUAUGCUUUCUUAUUAUUACAUUUACCUCGUGACUAAAUCUAAAUUGUUAAAAUUAGUUUUUAAGAAAACCAAAGAAUGAACCGGGCAGAGCAUUGAUCUACCUCCUUUAUAGAUGCUGUUAACCUUGGUUUCCCAUCCUUUUUUUGAUUCCUUUUUCUCUUUGCCUGCUCUUGAUGAUAGGAUGCUUACAAGCAAAUCCCCUUUUUCUCUUGGCAGGAUAUCGCUGCUACUAUUGAUGAGGAAGAUGUUGCAA